This 510-nucleotide ribosomal RNA is filed under the name uncultured organism. RNAcentral describes it as "bacterial SSU rRNA". It matches the Rfam family "Bacterial small subunit ribosomal RNA", at positions 87 to 577 of the family's 1533-position model. The record is from RNAcentral.
CGAGUACAGCGGCGGACGGGUGAGUAACGCAUGGUCGACCUGCCCACGAGAUCGGGAUAGCCAUNCGAAAGGAUGGGUAAUACCGGAUAAGACCACGGCGCUUCAUGGCGCUGCGGUAAAAAGGUUGGGAUCUUCGGACCUUCCGCUCGUGGAUGGGACCAUGUCCUAUUAGCUUGUUGGUGAGGUAACGGCUCACCAAGGCGACGAUGGGUAGCCGGCCUGAGAGGGUGGACGGCCACACUGGGACUGAGACACGGCCCAGACUCCUACGGGAGGCAGCAGUGCUGAAUCAUUCGCCAAUGCGCGAAAGCGUGACGGUGCGACGCCGCGUGCGGGAUGAAGGCCUUCGGGUUGUAAACCGCUGUCAGGGCUUAGGAAACCGUAAGGGUUAAUAGCUCUUGCGCUGACCAGGCCCAAAGGAAGCACAGGCUAACUUCGUGCCAGCAGCCGCGGUAAUACGAAGUGUGCGAGCGUUGUUCGGAAUUACUGGGCGUAAAGGGUGCGCAGGCG